GUGCCAGCCGCCGCGGUAAUACAGAGGUCCCAAGCGUUGUUCGGAUUCACUGGGCGUAAAGGGUGCGUAGGUGGUGGGGUAAGUCGGAUGUGAAAGCUCGGAGCUUAACUCCGAAAUGGCAUUGGAAACUACCCUGCUAGAGGUUCGGAGGGGGGACUGGAAUUCUCGGUGUAGCAGUGAAAUGCGUAGAUAUCGAGAGGAACACCAGUGGCGAAGGCGAGUCCCUGGACGACACCUGACACUGAGGCACGAAAGCUAGGGGAGCAAACAGGAUUAGAUACCCCAGUAGUCC
This 292-nucleotide ribosomal RNA is filed under the name uncultured bacterium. RNAcentral describes it as "partial 16S ribosomal RNA". It matches the Rfam family "Bacterial small subunit ribosomal RNA", at positions 505 to 796 of the family's 1533-position model. The record is from RNAcentral.